AAUUAUAAAAAAAACACGCCUGAUCUCGGAAGCUAAGCAGGGGCGGGCCUGGUUAGUACUUGGAAUGGGAGACCACCUGGGAAUACCAGGUUCUAUAAGCU
Molecule: ribosomal RNA, 101 nt
Organism: Labrus bergylta (ballan wrasse)
Lineage: Eukaryota; Metazoa; Chordata; Actinopteri; Labriformes; Labridae
Source: Ensembl